ACAGAACGCGCUGUAUCCUUCCGCUGCUACGCCCAGCGCACUAUUCAGUAGAUGCAGCUGUUGAAUUUGAAAACAUACACGCUUUGAUUUCACGAGAAGAUCUGGUUGACCAUAGUCUGGAGGAUUGGCAUUGGGGUUAUAGCCCAGUCUGCGGAGCAUUGGAGCGAUGUUCUCCAUGUCUUCUUGGACAUCUGCUGGAAUGUGGCCCACCCAACGAGUCAGAGCCUCCAGAUUUACAGGUUUGAUCACCUGAUCAGUGGAACGUUCAGUCCUUAAAAAACGAAGUGGGAAAGUGAACAUUGACAAGAUCCCCUUGGAUCCCCUCCAGGACGGCAACUGGCACAGCCGACACUUUGAGGCAGAUGGCAUCUUCUGCCUGCUCGUCAUUCAAGCAUCUCAGGGCAUCUGCACAGUCCUCUCUCACUACCCUCUGCCAGAACUCUUCUCAGUGCCUUGACUCCUCCAUCUUGUCCUCCAUGCAUGAACGGGAGGCAGUCUGGGGUGUGAGCGGUGUUUCAAUGACUGUUGCCCACAGAGAAGCACUAAGUGUACAGGCCUGCCAAAACCCUCCAACCAAUUGCUCAUUCAGACACUGAAAAGACCUGGAACCGACCACAACCAAGACUGCACAGACAGAAAAGAAUAGGCUGCCCAUUUUCAACAGAUCCCUCUGAAUGUCUUAUUUCCUACAUUCACAAAAAGUACCAAAAAGUGUGCUUUUUGAACAUUAACCAUGGUAUAACCAUAUGUAUUUAUUUAUUGACUAGUACCAUGGUAUUACUGUUUUGUUUUGGACAUUGUAACUGGUAAUAACUUGUUAUUCUGGACAUGUACCAUGUUAAUGCUAUGUUCUUUUGGACAUAUAGCAUGAUAUUACCAAGGUUUGUAACAUGGUAGUAUCAUUUUUUUGAUGCAUUUUGAUGAUUUGAUAAAUACCAUGAUACACGAAUACAGUAAUUAUUAAGAAACCAAAAUGUAGCAUAGUAUUAAUAUGGUCUUUUAGGGCAUGGUAACAUGGUAAAACCAUACUUUUUGGACAAUAACCAUUUUAAUACCAUGAUACAUGAAUACAGUGAUUAUUAAGACACAAAAAAGUACCAGUAUGAACCACAGUAGGACUGUAACUGAAAAUUAUUCUGAUAAUCGACUAAUCUAAUGAUUAUUAGAACGAUUAUUCGACUAUCCGGGCGACUAUUGCAACGAUUAAUCAUUAGCUCUUAAUAACCGAUUUUUCAGCUUGUGGUCUGACAUAAAAGUUUGCAUUAAACAUGCUUAAUAAUAAUAAAGAGGACAAAAUCAUAUUUAAAAAUACCUCUAAAUUACAUUCACUGAAUUAACGAAAAAACAACUUUUUAUUAAGUUUAAUUCAGUAAACAAUUCACUGCCAAACAUUGCCAAUUUUCUUCACAAUAAGAAACACGCAGUGACAUAUAUUAUGAUUCAAUAAUUUGCCUGCAUCAUGUUAUAAUCUAGCUGCAGCAAGUGUGCGCUCGAUGAACGCAGUUUCAAUAUUUCCCCCUUAGAUCGGGACACUUCACACAACUCAUAGAUGAGGCACUGACCGCACAGACGAAUGCCAGUUUCGGAGUUUGUAGUUAUUUACAUGAUCUGCUUCCUUAUUAACACACUAAAUAUAACCGCAUUAAAGAUGUAACGCCAGGGUCAUUCCUUUAAAGAGCUCAGGCUCUGCUUAUUCCACAACGAGAGUGCUUCUGUAUUUACUUAUUUGGUAUUUUUGUAUAAUUCCCUCAUAUUUUGCGAUCUACUCCCACUGAAGCUAUUUGAAAAUUUAGCGUGCAACUGGACUGUGAUCGGUGUAAUUCUUCCUCUCCUCAGUCAUGUGCUUUCGCGUGUCAUCAUGUGAUCUAAUGAUACGUUAAAAUGAGAUCAAAUGACUAUUUGAAACGAAACUUUUUGUCAACUUAUUGUUUCAGCCCUAUACUAUAGUAUUGUUACCAGCAGGGUAACAUGGUAACAGCAUGAUUUUUUGGGUGGUUACAGCAUGCAUAAUGGUAAUACCAUGUUUAUUAGGACAUUGUACCUAGUAAUAUAAUGUUUUUUGGGCAUGUAGCAUGGAUAAAGUUUUUGGAUAAGUACCAUGGUAUAAAAUGUUAUUGGACAUGGUAGUAUUAUGUUUUUUUAGACAUGUACAAUGAUACCACCAUGAUAUACUUCAAUGUACAUUUGAGUAACAUGU
This is a long non-coding RNA of Xyrauchen texanus (razorback sucker), 2197 nucleotides long. RefSeq lists it as uncharacterized. The record is from RefSeq and is a predicted model, not a curated record. NCBI's taxonomy places the organism in Eukaryota, Metazoa, Chordata, Actinopteri, Cypriniformes, Catostomidae. The transcript has 4 exons.